GUUAAUGUAGCUUAUUAUAAAGCAAAGCACUGAAAAUGCUUAGAUGAGUAUUUAUUACUCCAUAAACA
This 68-nucleotide transfer RNA is filed under the name Mysateles prehensilis (prehensile-tailed hutia). RNAcentral describes it as "tRNA-Phe". It matches the Rfam family "tRNA". From Rfam's summary of the family: Transfer RNA (tRNA) molecules are approximately 80 nucleotides in length. Their secondary structure includes four short double-helical elements and three loops (D, anti-codon, and T loops). The record is from RNAcentral. Lineage: Eukaryota; Metazoa; Chordata; Mammalia; Rodentia; Capromyidae.